RNAcentral lists this transfer RNA (74 nucleotides) under Pteropus alecto (black flying fox). It matches the Rfam family "tRNA". From Rfam's summary of the family: Transfer RNA (tRNA) molecules are approximately 80 nucleotides in length. Their secondary structure includes four short double-helical elements and three loops (D, anti-codon, and T loops). Lineage: Eukaryota; Metazoa; Chordata; Mammalia; Chiroptera; Pteropodidae. The record is from Rfam by way of RNAcentral.
GGCUCCACAGUGUAGUGGUUACCACGUCUGUUUUACACACAGAAGGUCCUGGGUUCAUACCCCAGGUGGAGCCA